CCUACGGGAGGCAGCAGUCGGGAAUUUUGGGCAAUGGGCGAAAGCCUGACCCAGCAACGCCGCGUGAAGGAUGAAAUUUUUCGGAAUGUAAACUUCGCAAGAACGGGAAGAAUAAGUAGAGGAUAAUACCUUCUAUGAUGACGGUACCGUUUGUAAGCUCCGGCUAACUCCGUGCCAGCAGCCGCGGUAAUACGGGGGGAGCAAGCGUUGUUCGGAUUUACUGGGCGUAAAGGGCGCGUAGGCGGUCGUGACGAGUCACUUGUGAAAUCUCCGGGCUUAACUCGGAACGGUCAAGUGAUACUGUCGGACUAGAGUACAGAAGGGGCAACUGGAAUUCUCGGUGUAGCGGUGAAAUGCGUAGAUAUCGAGAGGAACACCUGCGGCGAAGGCGGGUUGCUGGGCUGAUACUGACGCUGAGGCGCGAAAGCCAGGGGAGCGAACGGGAUUAGAUACCCCGGUAGUCCUGGCCUUAAACGAUGAAUGCUUGGUGUCUCGGGUUAUAAAGUCCCGGGGUGCCGUCGCUAACGCUUUUAGCAUCCCGCCUGGGGAGUACGGUCGCAAGACUGAAACUCAAAGGAAUUGACGG
RNAcentral lists this ribosomal RNA (586 nucleotides) under uncultured bacterium. Its description in RNAcentral is "bacterial SSU rRNA". It matches the Rfam family "Bacterial small subunit ribosomal RNA", at positions 338 to 916 of the family's 1533-position model. The record is from RNAcentral.